AUGUUCUCUUCAGCAGCAUAUACAUUAAAACUGGAAUGAUAUGGAGAAGACUAGCAUGGUCCCUGCUAGGAUGACAUGCAAAUUCGUGAAGCGUUCCAUAUUUUU
Molecule: small nuclear RNA, 105 nt
Organism: Peromyscus maniculatus bairdii (prairie deer mouse)
Lineage: Eukaryota; Metazoa; Chordata; Mammalia; Rodentia; Cricetidae
Source: Ensembl